UAUGUGAUCGUCUCUCGCAUAUCAAUAAGCGGAGGAAAAGAAACUAACAAGGAUUCCCCUAGUAACGGCGAGUGAAGCGGGAAGAGCUCAAAUUUGAAAUCUUAAAGGGUUUCCCUUUACGAAUUGUAGUUUAAAGAAGUGUUUUCUGUUGAGGUUUUGGUAAAAGUUCUUUGGAAUAGGACAUCAUAGAGGGUGAGAAUCCCGUAUUUGACCUUUACUUUCAACUUUGUGAUACACUUUCAAAGAGUCGGAUUGUUUGGGAAUGCAGUCCAAAAUGGGUGGUAAAUUUCAUCUAAAGCUAAAUAUUGGCGAGAGACCGAUAGCGAACAAGUACCGUGAGGGAAAGAUGAAAAGAACUUUGAAAAGAGAGUUAAACAGUACGUGAAAUUGUCCAAAAGGGAAGCGUUUGACACCAGUGUUGUUUUUCUGAAAAUCAAUUAAAGAACUGUUUAUGCUAAGCUGUUUAGACUUUAUCAGCUAUCUGUUUAGUUUUGAGCUUUUCUUUAAUGCACUUUUCAGUUAACAAGUCAACAUCAAUUUCUUUUGCUGUAAAAAAGCUUGAGGAAGGUGGCUUGAGAUUCGUCUUAAGUGUUUAUAGCCUCUUGCCUAUGCAGUCGGAGAGAUUGAGGUCUGCAGCGUAGAUCCUUCGGGGCUAAAUGCAUUUGUGCUAAGUUACAGCAUUUUAUAGACAACUUGUUGACUAUGAUUUGUCUUGUAGCUUACUCGCUUAUGUUAUUUUACCUACGCUUAGGAUGUUGAGCGCAUGUCUCUCUCU
This 775-nucleotide ribosomal RNA is filed under the name uncultured Neocallimastigales. Its description in RNAcentral is "partial large subunit ribosomal RNA". It matches the Rfam family "Eukaryotic large subunit ribosomal RNA", at positions 24 to 616 of the family's 3401-position model. Lineage: Eukaryota; Fungi; Neocallimastigomycota; Neocallimastigomycetes; Neocallimastigales. The record is from RNAcentral.